This 69-nucleotide transfer RNA is filed under the name Dipodomys ordii (Ord's kangaroo rat). It matches the Rfam family "tRNA". From Rfam's summary of the family: Transfer RNA (tRNA) molecules are approximately 80 nucleotides in length. Their secondary structure includes four short double-helical elements and three loops (D, anti-codon, and T loops). Lineage: Eukaryota; Metazoa; Chordata; Mammalia; Rodentia; Heteromyidae. The record is from Rfam by way of RNAcentral.
GGGAAUGUGGCUUAGUGGUAGAGUGCUUGCCUAGCAUGCAUGAAAUCGUGGUUCGAUUCCUCAGUACCA